CAUGUUGCCCACACGUACAGGAACCCCCUACAUGAAUCAGUCAGCUGCAGAACUUGGGAGAGGCUCAUCAUGCUGAAAUUGGCAUCAGUGCCUCUCAAUUAACUAUCACACUAAAAAUAGAUCCAUCUCCCUUUUUCCACGUCUGGGCUGAAGUCUAAAUCAUUCCCAGAGCCUGAAUUUGAUGGAAGUCCUUUAGCAGACCUGCCAGCAGGGAGUGGGAGAGACCUGUCUGAAUUUGAAGAUCAGCAGUGAGUAGGAUACUGCUUUCCACCUAACAAGACUAAAACACUGUGGGAGGGCUGUCCUGGACCUGUGAGGCUGUAGUGACUGUGCUUGUUUCGAUCUCCCAAGAAUCACCCAAGGAUCAAGUGGUGAUGCCUUUGCCUGCUGCUGAGCUUUCACAAGCCCCAGCUGCAGGGCCAUCCAGGUUAGCAAUAAAAAUAAUGUCAAACAA
Molecule: long non-coding RNA, 454 nt
Organism: Passer domesticus (house sparrow)
Lineage: Eukaryota; Metazoa; Chordata; Aves; Passeriformes; Passeridae
Exons: 4
Source: RefSeq, a predicted model, not a curated record